UGGAGCAUGUGGCUUAAUUUGACUCAACGCGGGAAAUCUUACCGGGUCCGGACACACUGAGGAUUGACAGGCAAUAUUAGCACUUAGCUUCGGCGACGUGUUAUGUUAAAUAUGCUAGUCCUUUCAUGAUUAUGUGAUAGGUGGUGCAUGGCCGUUCUUAGUUCGUGGAGUGAUCUGUCUGCUUAAUUGCGUUUCACCAAGGGCCUAUAAUUUUACGUGUGUUGCGGCACUUUGACCCCUCUUUUUUUAAAGAGCGCGUGUCUUGGUUUGCUUAGCUCGCACAAUUAGGUCCUGAAAGCAACGAACGUGACCGCAACCUCUUGUUGCCUUUAUACCAAACGUGCAUAUGCAAUUUUUUAAUUGCUUUGCGCGCAAAAAGGCUUUUUAAACUAGAGGGACCGCUGUUACUUUCUUAAACCAGAGGAAGGUUGCGGCAAUAACAGGUCUGUG
RNAcentral lists this ribosomal RNA (450 nucleotides) under Bulimina sp. RNAcentral's name for it is "SSU rRNA". It matches the Rfam family "Eukaryotic small subunit ribosomal RNA", at positions 1177 to 1466 of the family's 1831-position model. The record is from RNAcentral. Lineage: Eukaryota; Foraminifera; Rotaliida; Buliminidae.